CUACAAGAAUCCUGGGUCAUGUGCCUGAUUGAUUAAAGCAUGAACAACUUAUUAAAAAAAAUCUUUCUAGUCAGAGCUCCUGGAGAAGGGGAACGGUUGGAUGCUGAAGUCACCUGCUUGUGUAACAAGCACAACCAGCUUCUUGUAACCAAUUGGUGACAUCUUCAUGUGAUACGGUGGCAACACACACUGAGUUGUGACCAGACAGCACCUUUACAGCACUGCCACAGUUCAAUCGACAGGCCCAUCCCUGCUGCUUAUGGACUUUAGUGCAUUCUGGGAAUACCCAGUUACGUCUCAGCAGCAGGUAGCCUGCUAGGAGGAUUCAAAUAGAGUGGCAUCAGCAACACAGAGGCCUCAUGGACUCUAGGAUAUCCUACUGCAGAGAUUGCUUGGGACACGAUAGUCUGGACAAGACAUUUAAAGGUCCCCUGUGCACCGAAGAAAGGACUAUGCUGAACUGAAGAAGAUGCUGUGAGGAACCAUGGGAUAUUGGCAUUUAAGGGACAAAACCUUAGCAAAGACAAAAGCCUGCCUGCUACCCAGCUGAGCAUUAAGCCAGUCGUGGCAUCUUCAAAUGCAGCCCUGCACAAUUUCCAUAUGUGGCAGUGACUCUGGACACGGGGAAGUGUCCAUUUUAUGGGAGUUCCAUCCCAUGAGAACUCUGGCAUUAUCCACUUUAUUGCAGUGCUAAUACCCCUGGAGAUAAAACCCAGCCUCCUUGUUAUCAUCAGAGCUCAGUCUUGCUGGGAAUGCAGAUUCUUGUAAGGUUUCCUGGAUGCAUCUUCAGUGCUUUCGCGCAGCCUUGUGGGAUUUUUGCUCAGCCACAUCUCCUUGUUUUGGUGACAUCAGCAGAGCAGAAUUCCACCAAGCAUUCCCAAGGAAGCGUGAAAUGUACACACUACCUCAUACCUAAUCCUGCAAACUGGCAGCAAGUCAACUCAAGUAAUUGGAUUUGGAGCUGAAAACAAAUCUGAUAAAACUACACCAGGCGUUUGUGCACAAAAUACAUGCUAAUAAUAAUAAAAAACCC
Molecule: long non-coding RNA, 1033 nt
Organism: Gavialis gangeticus (Gharial)
Lineage: Eukaryota; Metazoa; Chordata; Crocodylia; Gavialidae
Exons: 2
Source: RefSeq, a predicted model, not a curated record